This is a long non-coding RNA of Chinchilla lanigera (long-tailed chinchilla), 320 nucleotides long. RefSeq lists it as uncharacterized. The record is from RefSeq and is a predicted model, not a curated record. Lineage: Eukaryota; Metazoa; Chordata; Mammalia; Rodentia; Chinchillidae. The transcript is spliced from 2 exons.
UACAUGUCUUGCUCCAAGGACACAAGAAAGAGCAUUCACUGUGGCAAGAAAAUGUUAUUUGUUAUGUACAAACCCCUUCUCCUUUCUAAGAAAAAUAACUCUAAAAUUCCCCUCUGUUUGCUGAAAGGAGAGAUGAGUAUGAGGAUGCAAGGUUGGAGAGACUCGGAGAAUGGCAGAGACCAUGAGGUAAGAUGACCUCUGUCAUAUACUCGUACUAUGACACACUGUGACACUACAGGCCCAGCUCAACAGGGCCAAGCACCAUGGACUGAAACUCAGAAAAGAGUAGGUAAGCCAGAAUAAACCAUUCCUCCUUUUAA